GGUGGUGAGAUAUGCUUACACUUCCCUUUGUUUAAGUUUUUAGAUCUAUUUCUUUCAGAUUCGCUGUUUUUCUGUUUGUUUCUUUGGAUACAUUUUUCUGUAAAUUUCCUCAAUUUUGUGCUUCUGUCAUGUGAUUUUAGUAUCUGUACUAAAUCUCGUGUUGAGUGCAUAUCUUCUGCAUCUUCCCCUUCCCUUCCCUUCUCUGCUAGUGUGAUUUUUUUUUUGACGUGGGAGUUCGUGUUAAAAGAAGGGAUC
RNAcentral lists this unclassified non-coding RNA (255 nucleotides) under Hevea brasiliensis (rubber tree). The record is from RNAcentral. Lineage: Eukaryota; Viridiplantae; Streptophyta; Magnoliopsida; Malpighiales; Euphorbiaceae.